UAUUACAGCAAAUUCGAUUGUGUUCUCUUAAUCAUCACCCACACUUAUACGAUUAAGAGAAGACAAACGAAAAAAUUGUAAUAA
Molecule: microRNA precursor, 84 nt
Filed under: Brugia malayi
Lineage: Eukaryota; Metazoa; Nematoda; Chromadorea; Rhabditida; Onchocercidae
Description: microRNA bma-mir-5365a precursor
Source: miRBase by way of RNAcentral